AGUGAACGCUGGCGGUAGGCCUACCCCUGCAAGUCGAACGGCAGCACAGUAAGAGCUUGCUCUUACGGGUGGCGAGUGGCGGACGGGUGAGGAAUACAUCGGAAUCUACUUUUUCGUGGGGGAUAACGUAGGGAAACUUACGCUAAUACCGCAUACGACCUACGGGUGAAAGCAGGGGAUCUUCGGACCUUGCGCGAUUGAAUGAGCCGAUGUCGGAUUAGCUAGUUGGCGGGGUAAAGGCCCACCAAGGCGACGAUCCGUAGCUGGUCUGAGAGGAUGAUCAGCCACACUGGAACUGAGACACGGUCCAGACUCCUACGGGAGGCAGCAGUGGGGAAUAUUGGACAAUGGGCGCAAGCCUGAUCCAGCCAUACCGCGUGGGUGAAGAAGGCCUUCGGGUUGUAAAGCCCUUUUGUUGGGAAAGAAAAGCAGCAGGUUAAUACCCCGCUGUUCUGACGGUACCCAAAGAAUAAGCACCGGCUAACUUCGUG
Molecule: ribosomal RNA, 491 nt
Filed under: uncultured bacterium
Lineage: Bacteria
Description: partial 16S ribosomal RNA
Rfam family: Bacterial small subunit ribosomal RNA
Source: RNAcentral